This 218-nucleotide long non-coding RNA is filed under the name Fukomys damarensis (Damara mole-rat). Its description in RNAcentral is "lncRNA (ENSFDAG00000025549.1)". The record is from RNAcentral. Lineage: Eukaryota; Metazoa; Chordata; Mammalia; Rodentia; Bathyergidae.
AGUGAACAACAGAAAGAGGACAUCUCUCAGGCUCCUCAAUGAAAAUUGAAGCCCACUGGAAAACUGACGAGAAUCUCUGCAAUAAAGGCACACCAUUACUUGGACUUUACACACAAUCUUGCUCUGGAGAAUCCUUUCAGAGGAGGAAUAGUCGUCCCCACAAGAUUUCAUCAGAAGAAGCAAAGCUGUUAUACUGGAUUUCACUUGCAAUCACAUGA